CCUACGGGUGGCUGCAGUGGGGAAUAUUGCACAAUGGGCGCAAGCCUGAUGCAGCCAUGCCGCGUGUGUGAAGAAGGCCUUCGGGUUGUAAAGCACUUUCAGCGGGGAGGAAGGCGUUAAGGUUAAUAACCUUGGCGAUUGACGUUACCCGCAGAAGAAGCACCGGCUAACUCCGUGCCAGCAGCCGCGGUAAUACGGAGGGUGCAAGCGUUAAUCGGAAUUACUGGGCGUAAAGCGCACGCAGGCGGUCUGUCAAGUCGGAUGUGAAAUCCCCGGGCUCAACCUGGGAACUGCAUUCGAAACUGGCAGGCUAGAGUCUUGUAGAGGGGGGUAGAAUUCCAGGUGUAGCGGUGAAAUGCGUAGAGAUCUGGAGGAGUACCGGUGGCGAAGGCGGCCCCCUGGACAAAGACUGACGCUCAGGUGCGAAAGCGUGGGGAGCAAACAGGAUUAGAUACCCCAGUAGUC
This 465-nucleotide ribosomal RNA is filed under the name uncultured Klebsiella sp. RNAcentral's name for it is "bacterial SSU rRNA". It matches the Rfam family "Bacterial small subunit ribosomal RNA", at positions 338 to 795 of the family's 1533-position model. Lineage: Bacteria; Pseudomonadati; Pseudomonadota; Gammaproteobacteria; Enterobacterales; Enterobacteriaceae. The record is from RNAcentral.